Molecule: ribosomal RNA, 408 nt
Filed under: uncultured Entrophospora
Lineage: Eukaryota; Fungi; Glomeromycota; Glomeromycetes; Entrophosporales; Entrophosporaceae
Description: uncultured Claroideoglomus partial 28S ribosomal RNA
Source: RNAcentral
GAGAGUUAAACAGUACGUGAAAUUGUUGAAAGGGAAACGAUUGAAGUCAGUCGUGCUGGCGCGAAAUCAGCUCGACCACUAGGGGAUCACGGGCCGUAGCGAGCCUCAAAACCGUUACGACUUGUGAUUGCUUAGUGGCCUGGUGCACUUUCGUGUCGGCUGGUUAACAUCAAUUUCGAUCGUCAUAAAAAGGCUGGAGGGAUGUGGCUCCUUCGGGAGUGUUAUAACCUUUGGCGGAAUGUGGUGGUCGGGAUUGAGGUUUGCAACGAAUACCUUCAGGGCUGUUCCACCUGGCCUCUCAUCGGCAUCCUGGCGACGACAGCUUGCUGACGUUGUUAGGACCAGCUUUCGAACAGGCUAGAGUGUGAGCAAAUUCGUUAAGGAUGUUAACGUAAUGGCUUUAAACGA